RNAcentral lists this non-coding RNA (24 nucleotides) under Arabidopsis thaliana (thale cress). Lineage: Eukaryota; Viridiplantae; Streptophyta; Magnoliopsida; Brassicales; Brassicaceae. The record is from RNAcentral.
GACAAAUCAGAUUCUUACUUUUGC